This 200-nucleotide ribosomal RNA is filed under the name uncultured bacterium. RNAcentral's name for it is "partial 16S ribosomal RNA". It matches the Rfam family "Bacterial small subunit ribosomal RNA", at positions 8 to 220 of the family's 1533-position model. The record is from RNAcentral.
AGAGUUUGAUCAUGGCUCAGGAUAAACGCUGGCGGCGUGCCUAACACAUGCAAGUCGAACGUCCUACAUUUCGGUGUAGGGAGUGGCGGACGGGUGAGUAAGACAUGGGUACCUGCCUUCCAGUGAGGAAUACCGGCGAGAAAUCGCCGACAAGACCGCAUACGCUUCCCUUCGGGGAAGCAAAGCUCGCAAGGGCGCUG